Molecule: long non-coding RNA, 6178 nt
Organism: Taeniopygia guttata (zebra finch)
Lineage: Eukaryota; Metazoa; Chordata; Aves; Passeriformes; Estrildidae
Source: Ensembl
UUUUUUUUUUUUUCUUUUUUUUUUCUUUUUUUUUUCUUUUAAUGGAAGAAAGGGAAAAUAAAAUAGGCUGCUUGAGGGAAUAGCAGAAGUGGAAAGCUAGGUCUUGGCACUCUUUGACAAGUAAACCAUCAAGAUGAGAAAGUACUUUCUACCCCUGUGUAGCUUGUGGCAAGGUCCAUGGCACAGGUUUUGGAGGCACAAAUUUCAGUCCUUUUGCUGACCUAGCAACUGCCUGUGUCAGCCAUGGCUCUGCACCCCAGAAGAAGGCAGAGUCUCUACUGGAGGUGAGACUCUCAAGCAUUUGCAGCAGCUAGGUCUUGGGCUGCUGGAUAAGGAUUGUCCUGGUAGGGUAUGGGCCACACUGGGAAACAUCACAAAAGCACCUGACAACCUCUGGAUGUUUGUGCAUUGCAGCUCUCCUUCCUGCUUAGUUGGGAUGUGGAUUUUAUGUACAAGACUCAUCUCUCAUAAAACCGCGGAAAGAGCAGCUAUUUAGCUCUGCCUUGUACUCUGGUUUCGCAAAUUUACUAUUAGUUUUAUAGGUAGGCAAUAACUUUUAUUUUCUCAUUGGCGUGGUUACUUCAUUGCUGAAGAAAGAACAGAGUUGUAUAUGAAGUACUGGGUAAAGAAGAAGUCACUCAUGUUCAAGGCCCUGAUGAUAUAAAAUGUACGCAGAAAACUCCUCUGCUCACAUAAAAUACAGAAGGUUUAAAAAAAAAAAUCUCAUGUUUCCCUUUUAAAAAUUCAGAAUCUCUUAAACCAAGAAAAAUACACCCACGGGAAGGGAGUUCCAGUAAUAACAGGCCUGCUCUCACAUCUCCUGGAAAAAGAGAAACAAGCAGUAGUCUACCCUGAGGGAAGAGGGGUUCGGGAUGGUAAACAGAAAUGUUUAUGCUUGUGAAGAGCUAAAAGACUUCAUAGGCACCCUGCUUCCCCCUCAUAUCCUGAGCACUUCAGAGCAAUGCAUCAGCCCUGUAGCACAGGGAAACAGCCCAGAAAAGAGCUUGUUCUUCUUCAGGGAGACUGAGGAAACACCAGAACAGGGAUGUAUCUAAGUGUCAGCAGAUCUUGCCCUCCAAAAUUCCCAGUAGGAACUAUUUGCAUAUUCUUUCUGUGCAGAAGACCACUGGUUUUUCAAUAGCUGAAGCCUCCGCCUGCUCAGGUUGAAAACUACUGUUAGAUGAUUUUCUUUGUUAAAAUUAAGGUGACUCACAUAUAAAAGGAAUUAGAUGUGAAUCAUCACAUUGAUCAACCUUCCUGUUCUCAUUUCUGCAUUUGAAUAAUUUUGUUAAGCUUGCAUUAAAAACCUUUCUAUAAUGUGUCUUUUGGCUUAGCAUGAAAUAUAAUUAAUUAUCCUGCUCUAUGAAUAUCUAUUUUCUAUGAGAAGUCCUCUGGCAAAUGUGCCACAUAAUCUGCACAGGCAUUGAUCCUAAGUUAAAAGACAGCCUCAAAAUCUGAGUCAGCUCUUCUACACAUUAUUAAGUGUCCAUUUUGGUUAUGCUGUUGAUGGUUGCCAGUCCAAUUUCAUACCUGCCUAUCCCUUUUUUCUAGUCUUCCUAUCUUGCUGGCAGAAGACCACAUAGAUAAUCAGAGCACAACAUAACAUAUCUUUGUGCUUUGUGUCUGCCUUUCACUUGGCUUUCAUAUGGAUUUUAUCUCAUGUUUUACAUCAGGAGCACUUUGGUGAUUCAAUUCAGUUGAUGGUCUCUCUCCUAUCUCUCCAAUCCCAGCCAAAAUGAGUGGCUGAAAAUCUUGUACAGAGAAGCUGAACUCUAUAGUCCAAAACAAACUUCCUGACUGUUUUCACUAGGUGGAAAAUAAUCUACAACCAAAACAAAUCUGGUCUCAUGGCUAAGAGGCAAAUCUUUCCUCCCCUGCAGCCACAGUACAUCUUGACCACGGUGGAAUGACAACAAUUUUGCUGCAUGUGGUGAGGGAAGGAAGAACAGAAGGCAGUUUCCAAAGGGUGACCUCCCUUCUUUGCUCUACACAGCAAGGCAGAAAGAUCCCACAGUGGGAGGACACCCAUGAGGCUGGAGGUUUGCAGCCAUAGGAGAUCAUAGUCAGGCUGUGUUAUCGCAUCCAAAACAACUAAUCCAAAGCAUCCAAACUGCUGAGUGCCAGAAUUUCAGAGAUGUCAGAGAUGUCAGAUGACAAAGGGGAUGAGUGUCAGGACAAGGUAAGCAGGAGUCCAUUCAUUGCUUGGCAGAAAGUUGGGAUACAUCGGAAGAGUCCUUCCUUAGAAGAAAAACUGGUUUGCUGGAUAGUGAAGAAGGAGGUUCUCCUGUAACCUAAACGUGUCUAGCACAGACUCAUUGGGGAGCUUUAAGAGUCAUGAGACAAGGCUUGCCAUGAUCUGAGUCAGUUUGGUAAUCCCCACACUGCAGAUUACCACACAGACAUGCACCCAAAGCAGCAGAAAAAAUUGGAGAUUGCAUCCCUCAUGAACCACAGGUGCUCUCCAGAUCUUCCUGCUGCCCCAGAAAAUAAUGUCAUCAUGCCAAACCAGGCAAAGCAGAGGGUUUGACUGUCCUGUAUUGCCCAAUCUCCACCCACUCAGCUGAUGUCUCUCUGGCCACACUGGUGAAGAGAGUUGAGGGCUGGAUGGGUAUCUAUACAGGGGGAACAGGUUGGCAUGUUAGCCCAUGGUUACCUAGGAACAGCUGUGGCCUGGGGUGGUCUGUGAUGGGAUAGGCUGUCCCUAGGUGUAAUCCUAACAGCAGUGUCUGAUGGGAAAGCAGAUACCAUUCCAAUCCCCACCCCCCCCAGCAGGAGUUAGAUGAGAGGCACUCACUGGCCACUGGAAGUCAAUAGUGUUGGCUGAAUGAAAACUCUUAGAUAAUACUAAUGUGCUCAGCAGGGUGCUGAGAUUCACUGGCUGAUCUCAGCACCAUGUCUCUCACAGCAGCCCACAUGCUUCAGGGGAUAGAGGACACCACAUGGGAUUAUUGUAAUUAUGUUCUCUGGGGCAAAGGAUAUAUUUCUUACUUCUUCAGGUAGGAUCUCAUCCAGGCCAGGAGGUAUGAGUUGUAUCUGACCAAAUUAAAGAAAUGUUGUGAUUUGAACUGGGACUAUUCUGACAAAACUGGCUCGACUACCUUGACCUAUCCAUCUGAGGAUUCUGGCACUAGAGGAAAUAUUAUCUCAGUGGCUUCAAUUGAUGGGAACUGAGAGGAGGAGGAACACAGGAGGAAUGAAAGCUGGAAAAAUCCCUUCCUCCUUUCUCUUUCUGCAGGGACUGGCAGCCUAACUUAGAGAUUCUCUCCUGAAAGGAAAAGGGGAGGUUUGUCAAGACCUACUUUAGUCACUCCAUCUCCAUAACUUAAUUCUUUCAAAAGUUAGGCAAGUGCUGGGGCUGGGGACAAUGGUGCUCGAGCAGGAAAAUGCUGCUAGCUUUCUGCUCAUGUUGCAGAGUCCCAUUUACUCAGCGUGUGAGGAGUGAUUAAAGCAUUUUGCAUUUGAGAUGCUCCUGUGGGCAUGUGCUGGGAAUGACUCCUGCUCUAAUCCAGUAGCUGACACAGCAAAAUCUUACACUCCAUUGUUGUAAAUCAUUAAAUCAAAGUCACAAUCCAUUUGGAGUAACUCAUGGAAACUCAUCAUUAUUUUGCCACUGCUUGCUGAACUGCUUAGAUAAUCAAAAUGCCUGUGAGAACAGGGAAAAAAUAUCUCGUUCUUGGCCUAUAAGGUGCAAAGAGCAGUGACACACCCCAAGUGAGAAGCAGCAGGAUGUGUGGGAGCAGAGAAAGAGGACUUGGGACAAUAUGAGCCAUGAGACUCCCUAGAGUUCCAUGGACCUCAUCACAGCUAAGUAUAAUGUUUUCAAGGCAAGCUCUUACUUGCUCUCUCAUUUCAUUGCUAUGGUGCAAGGGAGGUAUGGAGGAAGGUAAUGUGAAUUAGUUCUUUUAAAUAUCCAGUAAAGGAAAAGCCCUUGCCAUGUUUUGGAAGCCAAACAUCCCUUAAGAUAGAGACAACAUAGGAUCCUUGGCCCAGAUGUCUGGGGAGACAUGGGAAGUUCUGUGAGACCCUGCUCGUUUUUCAACUUGGAAGUCUGGGAGUGGGCAGCAAAUUAAUGGAGAAUACUUCAUUUAAUUAAUGAGGAAAAAUGUGAAUUACUGCUGAAGUUUCCAUUCUGUACCAGCAGGAAGCCAUUUUUCUGCUCUGGCCAAAGAUAUUAAGGAAUAUUUGGCACAUAAGGACAGCACUGAUACUGUGCAUUUCUAUUACAUGGGCUUGAGAUUUAUGUAAUUUACUCAUUAAGGCUUGUUUCUGCAAACAUGUAAGUAGGUUAUCCACUUAUUCAGUAGUUCCUGUGAACAAUUUUGUGGAUUUAUGGAAACAUCCAUGUCAGACCCUCACAGCCCCAGAGGCAUCAAGGAAAAUGUACAACUGGAGUUUUGAAGAUUGACAUUAGUUGUGACACUUCCAAUAGGAAGGUAAAUGACAGCGUUUUUCAGUCAUGAUAAUUUACAAAGUGAAAAUGUCAAUGUAACCAAUAAUACUUGAAGCUAUUUUCUCAUGACUAAUUACACCUCUGAAAGUGAAUAUGUAGCUGCAGUUACGAAGUGAUGGGGCAAAGUCAAAGUCCCAUACAUAACACUUUAACCACAAUCAUCCUUUUUGCCAAUAGAAACCAUGGCCUUCCACAGCUGAAGUGUAUAAAAAAGCAUAAAGAAUAUAUGAAAGCAGUGACACUAUGGAAUUAUUCAGGUUCUAAACAAUCAUAGAGAGCAAAACAUUUGAAGAAGACAAGUCAUUUCAGAACUUAGCAGCUAAUUAAUUUUGACUCUCACGCUGCAUUUCUUAAGUUCCCACACGCAUUGUGUUUCUAAGGCUAAAUCCUGUAGGCCCUUAUCAGCUCACAUUUAAGGGUUAAUUUACAGAGCCUCUGUCCAGCAGAAUAUGGUUCACUGUUCUUUGCACAGCUGCAUAAAACACUGUAAAUGCUUUUCAGAAUAAAAAAGUUGGAGUAGAAAAUAAAAGGCAAAUCUUAGAGGAAGACCUAGACCACCUUUUAAGUGGUGAGGCUGGAUCCUGUGACAAUGAAAUAGCUGAACUAGAGGGUUAUAUAUAUUUACUCUGCCUGACUGAGCCAGUAAGGCAAAUGGAUAAACUUGUGUGUUCAUACAGCUUUGUAAUUUAUAUAUUCUUUCCCAAAUUCAUGUCUCUUACUGGCUGUGAAAUAUAAGCAGGUACAAAUGGUUAAACUCUUUUGUCCAAAUUCUGCUGUCAUCUACAUUCAUUAAUUUUCUAUCACCUGUACAGAACCCCCUGACCUAGCCUCUGAAAUGUGGCCUCUACAAGAUGCCCCUCAUGAGGCCCCUCUUGCUCCUUGGAAGUUGACCUUCUUUCAGAAGAGUCUAACAAAUACUUUCCAAAUUAGGGCUAUUUAACCACCCCUGCCCAGAGUCACAGAACAUAACUACCGACAUGAUUUAUCUGGAAAAUUUUCAACUCCUGAACAUACCGUGGCAACAUUUGCUGAUGGUAUUCUUAGCAUGCAUGGGAGGGAUGGGGCUUUUUGUUAAUAUGUAUUUCUAAGGUUAUGUAUGUAGGAUAUGAACUUUUCAGUUCCCUGUACUAAUGUUAACUAUGGGUUGGCAUGUUAGAAGUUGUCCUGAGUUUAUAAAAAUCAUAUGGCAACGACAUGAGGAAGGAAAGCCAAAAGGAUGCUGUAGCAGAAAAGGAAGUUAUUGGCUAAAACCGUUGUUGCUGACACUGUGUAGCAUGAGGGGAGCCCUCACAGCCCUGGAGACGUGGGGUGAAGCCACAUGCUGACCCAGUGACCCUAACUCCCAUCAGGGCAAUCCAGAGAAAUAUCUUGUCCUUCACCACAGCUCUGGAAUUAGAAAUGCAGAGGAAGAAGACCUACAGGAUUAACACAGAUGAAGACAGAAAAAUCUUCAGAUUUCCAAAUGUGGAGAAAAGAGACCUCAGCUACCUCCCAGUGCAUAACAAGUUCUGCCUUUCAUGACUGCAUCAUGACGAGCAUCUCAUAGUGCACUGCAAUUCUUCCCUGCAUGCAAGUUCAUCAAAAUGGCUACACAUGUGAUUUUGUGUGUGUUUCUCAGUUUAAGAUAAAACUACUUGCAUAAAUAAUCUUGUAAAACUUCUGGGGUUUUUAUCUCUUGUAUUUAUUAGAGCAUACUGACACCAUGAUAAUUAUAUCACUGCAAUUAUA